RNAcentral lists this ribosomal RNA (253 nucleotides) under uncultured bacterium. Its description in RNAcentral is "partial 16S ribosomal RNA". It matches the Rfam family "Bacterial small subunit ribosomal RNA", at positions 524 to 776 of the family's 1533-position model. The record is from RNAcentral.
UACAGAGGUGCCAAGCGUUAGGCGGAAUCACUGGGCUUAAAGCGCGCGUAGGCGGAUGUUUAAGUGUCUUGUGAAAUCCCACGGCUCAACCGUGGAACUGCUGGGCAUACUGGACAUCUCGAGGCACUCAGGGGCGAGCGGAACAAGUGGUGGAGCGGUGAAAUGCGUAGAUAUCACUUGGAACGCCAAUGGUGAAGACAGCUCGCUGGGGGUGUCCUGACGCUGAGGCGCGAAAGCUAGGGGAGCAAACGGG